This 283-nucleotide ribosomal RNA is filed under the name Salmonella enterica. RNAcentral describes it as "partial 23S ribosomal RNA". It matches the Rfam family "Bacterial large subunit ribosomal RNA", at positions 1271 to 1557 of the family's 2925-position model. The record is from RNAcentral. Lineage: Bacteria; Pseudomonadati; Pseudomonadota; Gammaproteobacteria; Enterobacterales; Enterobacteriaceae.
UGCUGGAGGUAUCAGAAGUGCGAAUGCUGACAUAAGUAACGAUAAAGCGGGUGAAAAGCCCGCUCGCCGGAAGACCAAGGGUUCCUGUCCAACGUUAAUCGGGGCAGGGUGAGUCGACCCCUAAGGCGAGGCCGAAAGGCGUAGUCGAUGGGAAACGGGUUAAUAUUCCCGUACUUGGUGUUACUGCGAAGGGGGGACGGAGAAGGCUAUGUUGGCCGGGCGACGGUUGUCCCGGUUUAAGCGUGUAGGUGUGUGUUCCAGGUAAAUCCGGUUCACUUUAACA